AGUGAACGCUGGCGGUAGGCCUAACACAUGCAAGUCGAACGGCAGCACAGUAAGAGCUUGCUCUUACGGGUGGCGAGUGGCGGACGGGUGAGGAAUACAUCGGAAUCUACUUUUUCGUGGGGGAUAACGUAGGGAAACUUACGCUAAUACCGCAUACGACCUACGGGUGAAAGCAGGGGAUCUUCGGACCUUGCGCGAUUGAAUGAGCCGAUGUCGGAUUAGCUAGUUGGCGGGGUAAAGGCCCACCAAGGCGACGAUCCGUAGCUGGUCUGUGAGGAUGAUCAGCCACACUGGAACUGAGACACGGUCCAGACUCCUACGGGAGGCAGCAGUGGGGAAUAUUGGACAAUGGGCGCAAGCCUGAUCCAGCCAUACCGCGUGGGUGAAGAAGGCCUUCGGGUUGUAAAGCCCUUUUGUUGGGAAAGAAAAGCAGCAGGUUAAUACCCCGCUGUUCUGACGGUACCCAAAGAAUAAGCACCGGCUAACUUCGUG
Molecule: ribosomal RNA, 492 nt
Filed under: uncultured bacterium
Lineage: Bacteria
Description: partial 16S ribosomal RNA
Rfam family: Bacterial small subunit ribosomal RNA
Source: RNAcentral